GCGACCGUGGCGGAAUCGGCAGACGCGCACGUUUGAGGGGCGUGUGGGAUAUCCCGUGGUGGUUCAAGUCCACUCGGUCGCA
Molecule: transfer RNA, 82 nt
Filed under: Effusibacillus lacus
Lineage: Bacteria; Bacillati; Bacillota; Bacilli; Caryophanales; Alicyclobacillaceae
Rfam family: tRNA
About the family: Transfer RNA (tRNA) molecules are approximately 80 nucleotides in length. Their secondary structure includes four short double-helical elements and three loops (D, anti-codon, and T loops).
Source: Rfam by way of RNAcentral